GACGGGGGGGGCAAGUGUUCUUCGGAAUGACUGGGCGUAAAGGGCACGUAGGCGGUGAAUCGGGUUGAAAGUGAAAGUCGCCAAAAAAGUGGGCGGAAUGCUCUCGAAACCAAUUCACUUGAGUGAGACAGAGGAGAGUGGAAUUUCGUGUGUAGGGGUGAAAUCCGUAAAUAUACGAAGGAACGCCAAAAGCGAAGGCAGCUCUCU
RNAcentral lists this ribosomal RNA (207 nucleotides) under uncultured bacterium. Its description in RNAcentral is "partial 16S ribosomal RNA". It matches the Rfam family "Bacterial small subunit ribosomal RNA", at positions 524 to 730 of the family's 1533-position model. The record is from RNAcentral.